This 113-nucleotide non-coding RNA is filed under the name uncultured Ruminococcus sp. Its description in RNAcentral is "FMN riboswitch (RFN element)". It matches the Rfam family "FMN riboswitch aptamer (RFN element)". From Rfam's summary of the family: The RFN element is a highly conserved domain that is found frequently in the 5'-untranslated regions of prokaryotic mRNAs that encode for flavin mononucleotide (FMN) biosynthesis and transport proteins. Lineage: Bacteria; Bacillati; Bacillota; Clostridia; Eubacteriales; Oscillospiraceae. The record is from RNAcentral.
UAUCUUCAGGGCAGGGUGUGAUUCCUGACCGGUGGUAAAGCCCACGAACUCCCUCAGGAGCCGAUCUGGUGGAAUUCCAGAGCCGACGGUAAAAGUCCGGAUGAAAGAAGAUG